Molecule: ribosomal RNA, 468 nt
Filed under: uncultured bacterium
Lineage: Bacteria
Description: partial 16S ribosomal RNA
Rfam family: Bacterial small subunit ribosomal RNA
Source: RNAcentral
GACGAACGCUGGCGGCGUGCUUAACACAUGCAAGUCGAACGGAAAGGCCCUGCUUUUGUGGGGUGCUCGAGUGGCGAACGGGUGAGUAACACGUGAGUAACCUGCCCUUGACUUUGGGAUAACUUCAGGAAACUGGGGCUAAUACCGGAUAGGAGCUCCUGCUGCAUGGUGGGGGUUGGAAAGUUUCGGCGGUUGGGGAUGGACUCGCGGCUUAUCAGCUUGUUGGUGGGGUAGUGGCUUACCAAGGCUUUGACGCGUAGCCGGCCUGAGAGGGUGACCGGCCACGUUGGGACUGAGAUACGGCCCAGACUCCUACGGGAGGCAGCAGUGGGGAAUGUUGCACAAUGGGCGGAAGCCUGAUGCAGCAACGCCGCGUGCGGGAUGACGGCCUUCGGGUUGUAAACCGCUUUCGCCUGUGACGAAGCGUGAGUGACGGUAAUGGGUAAAGAAGCACCGGCUAACUACGUG